RNAcentral lists this non-coding RNA (91 nucleotides) under unclassified sequences. Its description in RNAcentral is "eL15-Euryarchaeota ribosomal protein leader". It matches the Rfam family "eL15-Euryarchaeota ribosomal protein leader". The record is from RNAcentral.
CCCGUACACACGGGACGACAUGUGGCUCGGGUGGUCCACCGGACCACCGCAACCGAGCGGCGGAGCCGCGAGGGGAGAGCUGAAUCGCAAG